RNAcentral lists this ribosomal RNA (623 nucleotides) under Trichoderma longibrachiatum. Its description in RNAcentral is "eukaryotic LSU rRNA". The stretch from base 265 to 418 matches the Rfam family "5.8S ribosomal RNA". Lineage: Eukaryota; Fungi; Ascomycota; Sordariomycetes; Hypocreales; Hypocreaceae. The record is from RNAcentral.
GUCGUAACAAGGUCUCCGUUGGUGAACCAGCGGAGGGAUCAUUAGAGUUACAACUCCCAAACCCCAAUGUGAACGUUACCAAUCUGUUGCCUCGGCGGGAUUCUCUUGCCCCGGGCGCGUCGCAGCCCCGGAUCCCAUGGCGCCCGCCGGAGGACCAACUCAAACUCUUUUUUUCUCUCCGUCGCGGCUCCCGUCGCGGCUCUGUUUUAUUUUUGCUCUGAGCCUUUCUCGGCGACCCUAGCGGGCGUCUCGAACAUGAAUCAAAACUUUCAACAACGGAUCUCUUGGUUCUGGCAUCGAUGAAGAACGCAGCGUAAUGCGAUAAGUAAUGUGAAUUGCAGAAUUCAGUGAAUCAUCGAAUCUUUGAACGCACAUUGCGCCCGCCAGUAUUCUGGCGGGCAUGCCUGUCCGAGCGUCAUUUCAACCCUCGAACCCCUCCGGGGGGUCGGCGUUGGGGAUCGGCCCCUCACCGGGCCGCCCCCGAAAUACAGUGGCGGUCUCGCCGCAGCCUCUCCUGCGCAGUAGUUUGCACACUCGCACCGGGAGCGCGGCGCGGCCACAGCCGUAAAACACCCCAAACUUCUGAAAUGUUGACCUCGGAUCAGGUAGGAAUACCCGCUGAA